AACCCGUUCCGGUAGCUUAAUGGUAAAAGCAUCCUGACAUGUAAUCGGGGAGAUCCAGGUUCGAUUCCUGGCUUGGUUA
RNAcentral lists this transfer RNA (79 nucleotides) under Cotesia glomerata. RNAcentral's name for it is "tRNA-Thr". It matches the Rfam family "tRNA". Rfam says of the family: Transfer RNA (tRNA) molecules are approximately 80 nucleotides in length. Lineage: Eukaryota; Metazoa; Arthropoda; Insecta; Hymenoptera; Braconidae. The record is from RNAcentral.